Molecule: ribosomal RNA, 503 nt
Filed under: uncultured bacterium
Lineage: Bacteria
Description: partial 16S ribosomal RNA
Rfam family: Bacterial small subunit ribosomal RNA
Source: RNAcentral
ACUCAAAGGAAUUGACGGGGGCCCGCACAAGCGGUGGAGCAUGUUGUUUAAUACGUCACUAACCGUAGAACCUUACCAGGGCUUGACAUCUCUGGCUACCCGGUGAAAGCCGGGGUUCCCCGCAAGGGGACCAGAAGACAGGUGUUGCAUGGCUGUCGUCAGCUCGUGUCGUGAGAUGUUGGGUUAAGUCCCGCAACGAGCGCAACCCUCACCCCAUGUUGCCAGCGGAUAAUGCCGGGAACUCUUGGGGAACUGCCCGGGUAACCGGGAGGAAGGUGGGGAUGACGUCAAGUCAGCAUGGCCCUUACGCCCUGGGCUACAAACAUGCUACAAUGGACGGUGGACAAAGGGAACCGAUGCCGCGAGGUGGAGGCAAUCUCAAAAAUCCGUCCCCAGUUCAGAUCGCAGGCUGCAACUCGCCUGCGUGAAGUUGGAAUCGCUAGUAACCGCAGAUCAGCCAAGCUGCGGUGAAUACGUUCCCGGGCCUUGCACACACCGCCCGU